AGAGUUUGAUCAUGGCUCAGAACGUACGCUGGCGGCACGCCUAACACAUGCAAGUCGAACGAAGUAGCAAUACUUAGUGGCAGACGGGUGAGUAACAUGUAGGUAUCUGCCCUUUGGCCUGGAAUAACACGAGGAAACUUGUGCUAAUACCGGAUAAGUCUUUACGGAGAAAGCUUUAUGCACCAUUGGAUGAGCCUGCACUUGAUUAGUUUGUUGGUGGGGUAAUGGCCUACCAAGACUGUGAUCAAUAGCUGAUUUGAGAGGAUGAUCAGCCACAUUGGGACUGAGACACGGCCCAAACUCCUACGGGAGGCAGCAGUGGGGAAUCGUGCACAAUGGAGGAAACUCUGAUGCAGCGAUGCCGCGUGAG
Molecule: ribosomal RNA, 370 nt
Filed under: uncultured bacterium
Lineage: Bacteria
Description: bacterial SSU rRNA
Rfam family: Bacterial small subunit ribosomal RNA
Source: RNAcentral